AUGUACGGGUCCUCCACCUCUAACCUCCCCCGGCGCAAGCUGAAGCGACAGCAGUGGCAGGGAGGAGCAGACCAAGCCGCCCAAGAAGCGUUGGAUCAAGUCAUGAAAGGUGUCGAUGUAUUCGUUUUGCGCCAAAUUUUAUUUCGUCGGUGUAACGUGAGUUCUGCUCUUUUUCAGAUUGCUGGGACUGGGAGGAGCGAUGCCAGUGGCGGAGACAAGCCUAGGGCAGUUGGGGCUAUAGCCCUAGGCGUAAUACCAAUAUCCUUUGUAAUUCCUUUUUAUACACAACAUAUAAAACCACUAGAGUGUAUCACUCAAGCUAGCUUAGCCCUAGGCGUAAUCUCAUGCUAG
RNAcentral lists this ribosomal RNA (351 nucleotides) under Triticum aestivum (bread wheat). Its description in RNAcentral is "partial small subunit ribosomal RNA". Lineage: Eukaryota; Viridiplantae; Streptophyta; Magnoliopsida; Poales; Poaceae. The record is from RNAcentral.